This 253-nucleotide ribosomal RNA is filed under the name uncultured bacterium. RNAcentral's name for it is "partial 16S ribosomal RNA". It matches the Rfam family "Bacterial small subunit ribosomal RNA", at positions 524 to 776 of the family's 1533-position model. The record is from RNAcentral.
GACGAACCGGACGAACGUUAUUCGGAAUUACUGGGCUUAAAGCGUGCGUAGGCGGCCUGAAGGGUUGGGUGUGAAAUCCCUCGGCUCAACCGAGGAACUGCGCUCAAAACCGCCAGGCUUGAGGGAGACAGGGGUGAGCGGAACUGAUGGUGGAGCGGUGAAAUGCGUUGAUAUCAUCAGGAACACCGGUGGCGAAGGCGGCUCACUGGGUCUCUUCUGACGCUGAGGCACGAAAGCUAGGGUAGCGAACGGG